UACGGAGGGAGCUAGCGUUUUUCGGAAUUACUGGGCGUAAAGAGCAUGUAGGCGGCUUGUUAAGUUGAAAGUGAAAGCCCAGGGCUUAACCCUGGAACUGCUUUCAAAACUGAUAAGCUAGAGGAUGAUAGGGGACAGUGGAAUUCCUAGUGUAGAGGUGAAAUUCUUAGAUAUUAGGAGGAACACCGGUGGCGAAGGCGACUGUCUGGAUCAUUACUGACGCUGAGAUGCGAAAGCGUGGGGAGCAAACAGG
This 253-nucleotide ribosomal RNA is filed under the name uncultured bacterium. RNAcentral describes it as "partial 16S ribosomal RNA". It matches the Rfam family "Bacterial small subunit ribosomal RNA", at positions 524 to 776 of the family's 1533-position model. The record is from RNAcentral.